Molecule: transfer RNA, 67 nt
Filed under: Marmota monax (woodchuck)
Lineage: Eukaryota; Metazoa; Chordata; Mammalia; Rodentia; Sciuridae
Description: tRNA.Ala
Source: RNAcentral
GGUUGUGGCUCAGCGGUAGAGCACUCGCCUAGCACGUAUGGGGCUCUGGGUUCAAUCCUCAGCACCA